Molecule: long non-coding RNA, 2710 nt
Organism: Pipistrellus kuhlii (Kuhl's pipistrelle)
Lineage: Eukaryota; Metazoa; Chordata; Mammalia; Chiroptera; Vespertilionidae
Exons: 3
Source: RefSeq, a predicted model, not a curated record
ACUGGAGUGGAGAGGAGAGAGGGUGAGAACGAAUGGCGCAAACCCUGGGCCCCGCAGAGCCCAUGCCUCCCAGACCAGGCGCCUUUCUGCUUAUGCUGUUGUGGAUAGUGAAGGGAGGAAGGGGCUGAGCACCUCAGCUACUUCCCCUCCUCCCCCUCCUCCUCCUCCUCUUCUUCCUCCUCAGGACUCUGAUUCCUACAGGGAACCUAUACUGCUGCCUGGCACCAAGGCAGCCAGAAUUUAGAUAAGAAAAGUCCAUUGCGAUCUGGCCAGCGUUGGUUUAUAAACCAAGCAACUCUACUAUUAGUAGGUCCUGUACCCUAUAGAGGUCCGAGGGAAAUGUUUCUUUAGAUACAACGAAGCCCUUGCCCAAGAGAGAGAAUAACAAAAGUCUUCUAAAAGAAGAAUUAAGAAUCUUGGUUUUUCAUACCUGGGCAAUGAACAGUAUCAGAAUGUGUCUCAACCUCUAAACUCUGACAUAACACCGUGGAAGGCAGGGAUGAAAACCUGGUCUGGUAGGAGGGACGCCGGAGCCUAACAUGCUUCCUGUGUCCAGAAUGGAGCUGGACACCUAAGCCUGCCAGGACCAAGUGCACUGUUAAGAGAUUUGAGUGCAAAACAAAUCCAUAGGCAAGAAGGACCCCAACCACCCUUUACUUGUCAGCUGGUUUGCGGCCUCUCUUCCCUUACGGACAUCCUUAAAAUGCUGAUGGUCAACCCUGUCUUCCGAGAAUCUGGGCCACUUUUAAGAAAAUCUGAAAACCACCACCAUCAGACUGUUUUAGGCAGUUAGGAUUUUAAACUUUCUGAAAGUUCAUGAAUACACGAAUCUUAUAAAUUAAGCCAGUUCUUUGGCAAUCUUGUUUCAGUUCUAUUUUUGCCUAUCUAUUUUUAUACCUCCUCUCUGGGUAACUUCCUCUCUGGAGCCUGGUAUAGUAGCCAGAAUAUGCCGGGUUAGUAUGAGCUUUCCAAGUUUCUCCCAUUGUAUCAGUGGCCCUCCACCGAGACAUCCCCUUCCCUUCUCUUCGUCUCAGUGCUUCCAUUUGGCCCCACUCAGCAACACAUGCAAAGUUGUUCGGGGUCUGGGUCUCAAGACUUACCACCAGGAAAGCUUAGUUGAAGGGAAGAUAACCCGUUUGUUCUAAGGCCUGACUUAGUCCUAACAGAAACCCUGAGACAGAUAUCUCCAUCAUUCCCAUUUCACACAUAAGGAACUCCAGGUUUACAGAGAUUAAAGUUUCUUGUUCAAACACACAUGACCAGGCAGGGGCAGGAUCUGAACUCAGGCCUUUGACAAGCUAGGCCUGCCCAGGCCCAACUAGGAUAGAAAAGGGAGUAGGAGUGAAUGGGCUCUAGGACAGUCCUCUCACACCAGCCAGAGCCCACCCUACCUACUGAAGGCCUGGGCCCUCCAGACUCGGGUCACCGCAGCAAGUGCCAUCUGCCAUCUGCCUAGAUUCCUUGGACAGGGAAACUGAGGACACAACUGGCUGUGGCUGUGGAACCCCUUGAGUAAUCCCUUCCAGUAGUCGCACUGGCUCUGCUGCCCUGGGAUAGAAAGGCCCCCUCCCUGCCAGCUCUAGAAGCAGCCUGCUUGACCCAGGCCUGAGACCCAGCCCAGGGUAGGUGGCCAUGUGCAAGUUCCUGCUGUUUCUUUAAGCUGCCAUUUAUGAGGUGUUCACAGAUGGGCCAGGACCAGUGCCACUCAGUCUGCCCAGCCCUGUCCCCCUCACCGCUUCUCUCCGGUCAGAACCACUGAACCGCAGGCAGCUUAGUCAGGAGCACAAAAACGUCCCUGCCUCACUUCCUCUAUCACUUUCUCCUUUAGUUCAGUUUGUCGUUGCCAGGCUGUAUUUCACAUGACACACUCCGAAUCCUGGGGCGAUAAGUACGCUGAGCUCCUUGCUCCCAGACACUGUCCGCGGAGGUUAGAAAUAACCAGUCUGGCUGGGAACGGAGGACUUGCACCAGACGGCUGCCUCGGCCUCCACACGGGUGGUGAAUGCGGUACAUACCUUAGAAACCCGAGCACUCAUUUCCUGGAGCACCAACUCUUCCAAAGCCCUCGUGACCUUUCCAUUAACUGAGGACAGAACCUCUGCCCCAGGCUGUCAAGAAGAUGGGGUGGUGGGAGAGUCCCCGGGGCAGGGCAGGUGUGGAGGUAAAGGGACUUGCUCUGAGGAAGACCUCACAGUUCCUCACAGCUACCCCCUGUGGGGCCCAGAAGUGGCAUGUUUUACACCUGUACCUCCCAGAUGCCUCACCUACCUGAAGGGUCUGCUGCACGGCCUAGUCUGCCGGGGACACCACUGCUCCUCGCCUUCCGCUAGUCCCCAUCCCUGCCACCUAGUGAUGACUGCCUGAGAGCGCCGCCUCCACCUGGCUGGCCUGCCAGAAUGCAGCCCUGCUGCCCGAGUCCUGGGCCCUGACACCCCCCUGGGUACUCGAAGCCAGGGGGCCGCAUGUGCAUGGAAGUGACCAGCAGCAUUGGGUACAGCAGGGCUGAGGUGCAGAUGAUGCCAGUCUCAUACUCCCUACCCAGGCCACGUGGCCUUCCUGGCCAUGGUCUCUUCUGGCAUGCACGACCAAAAGGGCAGAACUAUGGCUAUGUAAGAAGUUAAAUUAUAGGAAGCUGGGCAAACAGUAUACAGAAACUGCCAUUUCUAUAACUCUUACGUAAGCCUUAAGUUAUCUGAGAAUGAAAGGUUUA